AACGAACGCUGGCGGCAUGCCUAACACAUGCAAGUCGAACGAGACGUUCGGGCUUAGUGGCGCACGGGUGCGUAACGCGUGGGAACCAGCCCUUAGGUUCGGAAUAACUCCCCGAAAGGUGAGUUAAUCCCGGAUGAUGUAUUCCGGCCAAAGAGUUAUCGCGUUUGGAUGGGGCCGCGUUGGUUUAGCUAGUUGGUAGGGUAAAAGCCUACCAAGGCGACGAUCCAUAGCUGGUCUGAGAGGAUGAUCAGCCACACUGGGACUGAGACACGGCCCAGACUCCGACGGGAAGCAGCAGUGUGGAAUAUUGUGGAAGGGGCGAUAGCGUGGUCCAGCAACGUCGCGUGAGUGAUGAAGGCGUUAGGAUUGUAAAGCUCUCUGAGACGGGACGAGAGUGACAGUACCGGGAGAAUAAGCUCCGGCUAACUCCGUG
This 433-nucleotide ribosomal RNA is filed under the name uncultured bacterium. Its description in RNAcentral is "partial 16S ribosomal RNA". It matches the Rfam family "Bacterial small subunit ribosomal RNA", at positions 29 to 507 of the family's 1533-position model. The record is from RNAcentral.